CAUUACUGAAGAUCAUAGAGUUUUGAGACUGCGUCCUUAACAUGACGUGUGCUCGACUCUUACUCUUUAUCCACACACCUUUGUGCACCAUGGGACGAACAAGUCCCCUUUUUACAUAAACACCAAGUUAUAUGCAUGUUUUUAUACGCUCUACGGAGUAAUGUACAACUUUCAACAACGGAUCUCUUGGCUUUCGCAUCGAUGAAGAACGCAGCGAACGUGCGAAACGUAAUGUGAAUUGCAGAAUUCAGUGAAUCAUCGAAUCUUUGAACGCAUCUUGCGCUCCUUGGUAUUCCGAGGAGCAUGCCUGUUUGAGUGUCGUGAAAUACUCUCAAUUUCAAUCUUUUUUGAUUGAAAUUGGAUUUGGGUGUUGCUGUGGAGUCAUCCACAGCUCAUCCUAAAUGCAUUAGCGAUCUGCCUCUGAUCACACGCAAUGUGAUAAGAAAAAGCAUUGUUAUGAUUGAGUUAAGAUGGCUUCUAACCGUCGAAAGACAAGCAUAUAAUAUAUGUCAUUUGACCUCAAAUCAGGUAGGA
This 534-nucleotide ribosomal RNA is filed under the name Geastrum senoretiae. RNAcentral's name for it is "eukaryotic LSU rRNA". The stretch from base 167 to 321 matches the Rfam family "5.8S ribosomal RNA". The record is from RNAcentral. Lineage: Eukaryota; Fungi; Basidiomycota; Agaricomycetes; Geastrales; Geastraceae.